This is an RNA transcript of Medicago truncatula (barrel medic), 1546 nucleotides long. It is a transcript of the gene named probable lipoxygenase 8, chloroplastic, with no coding region annotated. NCBI's taxonomy places the organism in Eukaryota, Viridiplantae, Streptophyta, Magnoliopsida, Fabales, Fabaceae. The record is from RefSeq and is a predicted model, not a curated record. The transcript is spliced from 8 exons.
UUAUAGAACUUUGUUUUUCAUUUCAGAUAUCUCUCUCAUAGAAUCACUUUUCUAAGGGCUUUAUCCCAAAAUAGUUUAGUCAAAAUUGCUUAAUCAAAAUCUCUUCAUGACAUCUCCUCAUCAGUUUCAUUUCAAUCACUCUCACAUCUUCAUCACAAUCGCUCCUCUUCGCAAUCCCUUCAUCGAAAUUGUUCUGGUUAACUUCUUCAUCGCAAUCUCAUUCUGUUCCAAUCGCUGAGUAAGAUUUUGGAUUUUUUGGGUUAAUUCUUCUGAUUUGAUGAGGUAAUUUUUGAUGUUUAAGUUAAGGUGAUGUGAUAAUAAAUCCAAUUUAUAACUUGAUAUUUCUAGGUUUAUUUGAUUUGAUUUGAUUUUAAGUUGAUUAUUAACUUUGGUUAAGAAAUUUACUUUUCUAGGUUAAGUUGAUUCUGAUUUGAUGCAGUUGACAUUUUCUAAGUUAAGUUGAUUCUGAUUUUUGAUGUAAUUGAGAUUUUAUCGAAUUCGGUAACCACCGCCAUCAGAGCAUCAAGAAUGCAGCGGCAUUGAACUUCCAAUUGCAGUUGAAGCUUGUUCAUUAUUCUUUAGCAAGAUCUGCCAAUGACUUCAAGCGUGAUUGAUGGCUUGCACCAAGAUGGGAACAGUGGCAUCUGAGUCUUGGUGUCGCUAAGCCAGUGAAAUGAGAUACUGCAUUCUUUGUGAAUCAAUGCUUGUCUGAGUCCUUUCUGCCAGGGACUUGUUUUGUAGCCUAGAGGAUUCAGAAAAAGAGGUACAAGUCAUCUAUUUGGUGAAAGUAUAUGUGAUUUUGGCAUGUCCUGUGUUGGGAAGAUAUAUCAAAAGAUGUUUCCCUAUUCCUACCAUCAAAGUUACUUGGUGGGGAGCUCUGUUCUUGGAGGUCUGACUUGACAGUUCCAUUUUCUAGAUUUGCAGAUAUGGAUGGUAAAACUCUUGUUCCACUUAUAAUGAUCUAUGCUGGUUACCAUGAACUUAUAAGCCACUGGUUGAGGACUCACUGUGUUGUAGAACCAUUUGUGAUUGCAACAAAUAGGCAACUUAGCACCAUGCAUCCAAUCUACAAGUUACUGCAUCCACAUCUCAGAUAUACCUUGCAGAUAAACGCACUUGGACGCGAGAUUCUUAUUAGUUCAUAUGGAGUCAUUGAAAGCACAUUCUUUACUAAAAAGUAUUCAAUGGAAUUAAGUUCUGUGGCUUAUGAUAAGCUUUGGCAAUUUGAUUUGCAGGGACUACCAAAUGAUCUUCUCCAUAGAGGAAUGGCUGUGGAAGAUCCUAGUGCACAACAUGGACUAAAGCUAGCAAUUGAAGUAUAUCUUCCCAACAUAUUGUUAGUUUAGCUUGUUAAGUUCAUGUACAUUUAUACUUUUUUGCUUUCUUUUUAAUGAGCCGGGCCCAUCUGUCUUUCUUCUGACCGUAUUAUUUACUUUUGGUGCUUUUAACUACAGUGUGUCUAUAUUAGGAAUUGGUUUCAAUUUGUGUAUAGUGAUCUUAAUAUUAAUAAGAAUUUGAGAUUGAAUUAAUUGUUGUGUUUUACUUA